UACGAAGGGGGCUAGCGUUGCUCGGAAUCACUGGGCGUAAAGGGUGCGUAGGCGGGUCUUUAAGUCAGGGGUGAAAUCCUGGAGCUCAACUCCAGAACUGCCUUUGAUACUGAAGAUCUUGAGUCCGGGAGAGGUGAGUGGAAUUCCCAGUGUAGCGGUGAAAUGCGUAGAUAUUGGGAGGAACACCAGUGGCGAAGGCGGCUCACUGGACCGGAACUGACGCUGAGGCGCGAAAGCGUGGGGAGCAAACGGG
This 253-nucleotide ribosomal RNA is filed under the name uncultured bacterium. RNAcentral describes it as "partial 16S ribosomal RNA". It matches the Rfam family "Bacterial small subunit ribosomal RNA", at positions 524 to 776 of the family's 1533-position model. The record is from RNAcentral.